Molecule: ribosomal RNA, 2233 nt
Filed under: Bacillus niameyensis
Lineage: Bacteria; Bacillati; Bacillota; Bacilli; Caryophanales; Bacillaceae
Description: bacterial LSU rRNA
Rfam family: Bacterial large subunit ribosomal RNA
Source: RNAcentral
AUAUAGUAUGAGGUCGUAGACCCGAAACCAGGUGAUCUACCCAUGUCCAGGGUGAAGGUAAGGUAACACUUACUGGAGGCCCGAACCCACGUACGUUGAAAAGUGCGGGGAUGAGGUGUGGGUAGCGGUGAAAUUCCAAUCGAACCUGGAGAUAGCUGGUUCUCUCCGAAAUAGCUUUAGGGCUAGCCUUGAGAAAGAGUCUUGGAGGUAGAGCACUGUUUGGACGAGGGGCCCUCAUCGGGUUACCGAAUUCAGACAAACUCCGAAUGCCAAAGACUUGAUUCUCAGGAGUCAGACUGCGAGUGAUAAGAUCCGUAGUCGAGAGGGAAACAGCCCAGACCGCCAGCUAAGGUCCCCAAGUAUCCGUUAAGUGGAAAAGGAUGUGGAGUUGCUUAGACAACCAGGAUGUUGGCUUAGAAGCAGCCACCAUUUAAAGAGUGCGUAAUAGCUCACUGGUCGAGUGACUCUGCGCCGAAAAUGUAUCGGGGCUAAACGGAUCACCGAAGCUGCGGACUGACACCGUAGGUGUCAGUGGUAGGAGAGCGUUCCAAGGGCUGUGAAGCCAGACCGGAAGGACUGGUGGAGCGCUUGGAAGUGAGAAUGCCGGUAUGAGUAGCGAAAGAAGGGUGAGAAUCCCUUCCACCGAAUGCCUAAGGUUUCCUGAGGAAGGCUCGUCCGCUCAGGGUUAGUCGGGACCUAAGCCGAGGCUGAAAAGCGUAGGCGAUGGAUAACAGGUCGAUAUUCCUGUACCACCUCCCCGCCGUUUGAGUAAUGGGGGGACGCAGGAGGAUAGGGUAAGCGCGCUGCUGGAUAUGCGCGUCCAAGCCGUUAGGCUGAAGAGGAGGCAAAUCCUUCUCUUUAAAGCGGAGCGGUGAUGGCGAGGGAAAUAUAGUACCGAAGUUCCUGAUUCCACACUGCCAAGAAAAGCCUCUAGCGAGGCGGGAGGUGCCCGUACCGCAAACCGACACAGGUAGGCGAGGAGAGAAUCCUAAGGUGAUCGAGAGAACUCUCGUUAAGGAACUCGGCAAAAUGACCCCGUAACUUCGGGAGAAGGGGUGCUCUUUUGGGUGAAAGCCCGAGAGAGCCGCAGUGAAUAGGCCCAGGCGACUGUUUAGCAAAAACACAGGUCUCUGCGAAGCCGCAAGGCGAAGUAUAGGGGCUGACGCCUGCCCGGUGCUGGAAGGUUAAGAGGAGUGCUUAGGCGCAAGCCGAAGGUACGAAUUGAAGCCCCAGUAAACGGCGGCCGUAACUAUAACGGUCCUAAGGUAGCGAAAUUCCUUGUCGGGUAAGUUCCGACCCGCACGAAAGGCGCAACGAUCUGGGCACUGUCUCAACGAGAGACUCGGUGAAAUUAUAGUACCUGUGAAGAUGCAGGUUACCCGCGACAGGACGGAAAGACCCCGUGGAGCUUUACUGCAGCCUGAUAUGGAAUGUUGGUGCAGCUUGUACAGGAUAGGUAGGAGCCGUCGAAGCAGGAGCGCCAGCUUCUGUGGAGGCAUCGGUGGGAUACUACCCUUGCUGUACUGACAUUCUAACCCGCACCCGUGAUCCGGGUGGGAGACAGUGUCAGGCAGGCAGUUUGACUGGGGCGGUCGCCUCCUAAAGAGUAACGGAGGCGCCCAAAGGUUCCCUCAGAAUGGUUGGAAAUCAUUCGCAGAGUGUAAAGGCACAAGGGAGCUUGACUGCGAGACCUACAAGUCGAGCAGGGACGAAAGUCGGGCUUAGUGAUCCGGUGGUUCCGCAUGGAAGGGCCAUCGCUCAACGGAUAAAAGCUACCCCGGGGAUAACAGGCUUAUCUCCCCCAAGAGUUCACAUCGACGGGGAGGUUUGGCACCUCGAUGUCGGCUCAUCGCAUCCUGGGGCUGUAGUCGGUCCCAAGGGUUGGGCUGUUCGCCCAUUAAAGCGGUACGCGAGCUGGGUUCAGAACGUCGUGAGACAGUUCGGUCCCUAUCCGUCGCGGGCGCAGGAAAUUUGAGAGGAGCUGUCCUUAGUACGAGAGGACCGGGAUGGACGCACCGCUGGUGUACCAGUUGUCUCGCCAGAGGCAUAGCUGGGUAGCUAUGUGCGGAAGGGAUAAGUGCUGAAAGCAUCUAAGCAUGAAGCCCCCCUCAAGAUGAGAUUUCCCUUGGUUUAUACCAUAAGACCCCUGAAAGAUGAUCAGGUUGAUAGGUCCGAGGUGGAAGUGUGGCGACACAUGGAGCUGACGGAUACUAAUCGGUCAAGGGCUUAAUCA